Molecule: non-coding RNA, 270 nt
Organism: Chiloscyllium plagiosum (whitespotted bambooshark)
Lineage: Eukaryota; Metazoa; Chordata; Chondrichthyes; Orectolobiformes; Hemiscylliidae
Source: RefSeq, a predicted model, not a curated record
AAUUUAUUUAAGGCUAUGAUAGACAGAUUUUAGCCUCUAAGGGAAUCAAGAGAAUUGGGAAAUGGGGAGAUAACUGGAGCUCACUUUGCUGGAGCACCUAUCAAAAGCACUGCAGAGGGUCAAGGAGAAAGCACAUCUCACCUUGUCAGGGUAACUAGCUCCUUGUUCAUCCCUCAAAAACGCAAAGCAAUGGCUAGCAGUGAAGAAGACCUUUCUCAGCUUGCAGCCCCCACGAAAAACAAAAUUCAUCAUAACUCAGUGCCUGAUGAA